This 748-nucleotide ribosomal RNA is filed under the name Shewanella sp. SC-C4-16. Its description in RNAcentral is "bacterial SSU rRNA". It matches the Rfam family "Bacterial small subunit ribosomal RNA", at positions 49 to 784 of the family's 1533-position model. Lineage: Bacteria; Pseudomonadati; Pseudomonadota; Gammaproteobacteria; Alteromonadales; Shewanellaceae. The record is from RNAcentral.
CUACACAUGCAAGUCGAGCGGUAACAUUUCAAAAGCUUGCUUUUGAAGAUGACGAGCGGCGGACGGGUGAGUAAUGCCUGGGAAUUUGCCCAUUUGUGGGGGAUAACAGUUGGAAACGACUGCUAAUACCGCAUACGCCCUACGGGGGAAAGCAGGGGACCUUCGGGCCUUGCGCUGAUGGAUAAGCCCAGGUGGGAUUAGCUAGUAGGUGAGGUAAAGGCUCACCUAGGCGACGAUCCCUAGCUGGUCUGAGAGGAUGAUCAGCCACACUGGGACUGAGACACGGCCCAGACUCCUACGGGAGGCAGCAGUGGGGAAUAUUGCACAAUGGGGGAAACCCUGAUGCAGCCAUGCCGCGUGUGUGAAGAAGGCCUUCGGGUUGUAAAGCACUUUCAGCGAGGAGGAAAGGGUGUAAGUUAAUACCUUACAUCUGUGACGUUACUCGCAGAAGAAGCACCGGCUAACUCCGUGCCAGCAGCCGCGGUAAUACGGAGGGUGCGAGCGUUAAUCGGAAUUACUGGGCGUAAAGCGUGCGCAGGCGGUUUGUUAAGCGAGAUGUGAAAGCCCCGGGCUCAACCUGGGAACCGCAUUUCGAACUGGCAAACUAGAGUCUUGUAGAGGGGGGUAGAAUUCCAGGUGUAGCGGUGAAAUGCGUAGAGAUCUGGAGGAAUACCGGUGGCGAAGGCGGCCCCCUGCACAAAGACUGACGCUCAGGCACGAAAGCGUGGGGAGCAAACAGGAUUAGAUA